UGAACUGAUAUAUCUUGUAAUGGAACUGAAUAGUAAGGUGGCCAACAACUGGGGCCCGAAUGGCGAUAAUACGUGACGUUUUUUUUCUCAAAACCGCUCAUCAAAAGCUGAAAAUAGUAUUUUCACUGAAAUUUCAAACUUGCUAAUUGCUAACCCGUUAGCUAACAUUUUGACAUCACCAAAAAUCACCUAACAUUGAUGGCUUGAUCACAAGAUAACAUUGUUGAAGGUAAUGCAUUAUUUAAACGCUGUUGAAUAUGCCGAGAAUACGGCGUCCCACGCUACGUUUCCGCGUUCCCUUAUUUGUGUCAUACUACCUUUAGCUAGUAGGUAGCUAGCUAGGUUACUUUCUAAGCUAAGCUAACGUUAGCUAAUUUAGGUUUGUCUGUAUUAGCGCGAACUAGCUAGUAGCGUAUCAGCCGUGUUGAGACAGAUAGCCUGCUCUGUUUAGAAGCCUCUCAGGUGAGUCGGCAGGCAAAAAAAGAAAAUGCCAAAUGAUGUCUUCACUAUGACAAACCUCUUUGUUAUGAGCCUUGCUUGAUGAUAUUUCAGUAUUUGUCUUUCAGAUCAAUGAACAAUUCCACAGGCUCACCGCAAAGCAUCCUGAGGCAAGGUUUAUGCAGGACACCCCUAAGCUGCUGUCCUUAUUCCAUUCCAAGGGAGGAGUACUUUCAGACAGAUUGCGGGUCAUGCUGGAUGGAAGCUGAGGGGGUCAUUUCCUGCAAGACCUUGCGCAACAUGUAAAGCAAAUCUAUGCGAUCAACGAGGAGGGUGCCGUGGCGAGUGAUGGUCCAGAGGAGCAGGUCAGGAACGGUGUCCUCUACCACAGGCCCGCUUGUUGUUGGUGAAGCCGCCUGGGGCCAGAAUCUGUGCUGGGACC
This is a long non-coding RNA of Coregonus clupeaformis (lake whitefish), 880 nucleotides long. RefSeq lists it as uncharacterized. Lineage: Eukaryota; Metazoa; Chordata; Actinopteri; Salmoniformes; Salmonidae. The record is from RefSeq and is a predicted model, not a curated record. The transcript is spliced from 3 exons.